This 1888-nucleotide long non-coding RNA is filed under the name Marmota monax (woodchuck). Lineage: Eukaryota; Metazoa; Chordata; Mammalia; Rodentia; Sciuridae. The record is from RNAcentral.
GCCCACCAGAGCCCAGCCCAAGGACAGAAGCAGCCGACCCUGCUGUGGAGCUGAUUGGAGAGUCCCAGGUGUGAGUCCGCCCAGGGGACAGCGUCUCCCACACCUGGGUCACUUUCUAGUUCCAGCCCGAGUCAGGUCUCCACAGCCAGUGAAGUGCCUUCAGCCAUUGGCCCUGUGGAGGGCUUGGCAUUUAUCCGGCACCUGCUGUUGGGCAGGAUUAGUGCCCUUUCACAGGGACACGAUCAGCAGUGUGCACCCUGGAGGAGGGCCCUUGCUAGGGCCUGACCAGGCUGGCACCCUGACCUCAGGCUUCCAGAUCCGCAACCAACGUCUGUUUAUAAACCAUCUGGCCUAUUGUUAGGGGAACCCACACUGACACGGGUACCUUGUAGCAACCCAAGGAUCAAACAGACCCCGCUACAGAGGAAUGAGCUAAGACACAGCCGAGUUAGGUAACUUGCUGGAGGUCACACAGCUAGUUAGUACAAGUGCUAGAACUCCAGCCAACUAGCCUGGCCCCAGAGCCCAUGGGGCUGGCCACUGUCCUCUGGUUCUCCUUCACUUCAAGCUUCUCUGGGCGCUGGGUUUAUGAGCCCCUCCAGCCCCGGUUCCACUGUGCUGCCGGUGUCUUUUAAACAAUGUAAUCAGGUCAGGCUCCUUCACAGAGCCUCUGAAGCACUCUCCCAUCCACGGAAUCAAGCUCGGGCCGGAUUUGGCCAGCCACGGGAUUCAUUCCGCCUCCCGCAAGAGCUCAGCUCCACACACACACACACACACACACACACACCCUUGUAGAAAGACCACUUACGGUUUCCAAAAAGCUGUCAGCUGUCUAGGGCAGCAGCACUAUCCAUAGAUAGAAUGCAAGGCACAUAUGGAAUUCAGAAUUUUCUAGAAGCCACAUUAAGAGAGUAAAUUAACUUCAGUAGCAUAUCCGGUAUAUUUACAAUGUUGACAUUUCAACAUGCAUCGAUCUAAAUCCUGGUGGACAUGGUUUUGAUUUUGUUUGAAGUCUCAGCGAUCGGGUGUGUUUUGCACCAUUACAAUUGGCUCAGACUCCCAGGGACUCGCCACUGAGGCUGGGAAGGAAGAGGAGAGACGGACAAGGGGUAGGAAGCACAUCAGCAUCGUCACCGUCAUUGCUGACACCUGCUGCUCCCAGCCCCCUGCCACCGCCGUCAGUUUUACAAGCAUUUCCUUGUCUCAUUCUCAAAAUGAUCCCGGAAAGAUUGUUCUCUUGUUGGGCCGCCUUGGCGAAAAGGAAGAGAUCACAAAAAAAUCCUCAGGAUCAGAGGGCGGAGGCUGGGAAUGGAGGCUCCUUUUCUAUUUCACACACCACCCAGCGUCCAGCAUCAGCUAGAUGGAGCUCCUCUGGGUCCUGGGGUGAGUGAGGGAGACCUUGUCAGGGGCACAGCCUUUUGUCAUCAAGCUGUCAAGUCUCCUGCCUUCCCACCUCCGUGGCUUCCUCCCUCCUUCCCAGAAUUCCCUGGGAAUUCCAAGUUCUUUUGCCUCUGUGAUGCAAGCAGUUGGCCCCCCAUGGUUUGGAUGGAGAUAGAGUGGGCCCAAGUUGGUCCCCGGGGUGAUGAUGUUACAGAUGGUGGGAGCUUUAAGACGUGGGUUCUACUGGGAGGAUUUCAGGUCAUUGCAGGGAGUGCCCUCUGAAGGACCUCAAGUAGCUCUUCUGGAAUCCUGGAACCCCCUGAGAGUGAGUUUUAAAAGAGCCCCUUCCAGCUCUCUGUCAUCCUUGUCUGAAUGUCAGAUCCCCCUCUUUCAUGUGCUUCUGUCACUAUGCAAGUCUCCAUGCUGUGUCACAGCCACAGGGGACAUCACCAGAGCCGGCAUCGUGCCAUUUGGACUUUUGUCCUCCCAAACUGUGAGUUAAAUAAAC